UGGGACUACAGGCACACGUCAAAACGCCCGGCUAAUUUUUGUAUUUUUAGUAGAGAUGGAGUUUUGCCAUAUUGGUCAGGCUGGUCUCGAACUCCUGACCUCAGGUGAUCUGACAGCCUCGUCCUCUCAAAGCACUGGGAUUACAGGCAUGAGCCCCUUGCCCGGCCUCUCACUACAUUUAAGUGACGCCAUGGCUCAUGCCUGUAAUCCUAGCACUUUGGGAGGCCAAGGCAGGUGGAUCACCUGAGGUCAGGAGUUCGACACGAGCCUGGCCAACAUGGGGAAACCCCGUCUCUAGUAAAAAUACAAAAAUUAGUCAGGUGUGGUGGUACAAGCCUGUAGGCCCAGCUACUUGGAAGACUGAGGCAGGAGAAUCACUUUAAGCGGGAGGCAGAGGUUGCAGUGAGCCAAUAUCAUGCCACUGCACU
RNAcentral lists this long non-coding RNA (428 nucleotides) under Homo sapiens (human). Its description in RNAcentral is "HSALNT0405037". The record is from RNAcentral. Lineage: Eukaryota; Metazoa; Chordata; Mammalia; Primates; Hominidae.